RNAcentral lists this unclassified non-coding RNA (205 nucleotides) under uncultured fungus. RNAcentral describes it as "sequence contains ITS2". The record is from RNAcentral. Lineage: Eukaryota; Fungi.
AACUCUCAUUAUUCUAAAGCUUUUGGCUAUAGAAAAUGGACAUGGGCUUGCAAGAUAAAAACUUAUUUUGCUAGUCUAAAAUGCAUUUCUUGAUCUGUUCAUUCGAUUUUGCUUAAUAGUUUUAGCCUUUGCGCUGAAUCUUUGGCUUUAUCAAUGAAUAAACAGCUUCAAGAUUUACGAUAUAAUUGGCCAUGAGCCUUUCAAA